Molecule: ribosomal RNA, 301 nt
Filed under: uncultured bacterium
Lineage: Bacteria
Description: partial 16S ribosomal RNA
Rfam family: Bacterial small subunit ribosomal RNA
Source: RNAcentral
CAGCAGCCGCGGGAAUACGAAGGGUGCAAGCGUUACUCGGAAUUACUGGGCGUAAAGCGUGCGUAGGUGGUGGUUUAAGUCCGUUGUGAAAGCCCUGGGCUCAACCUGGGAAUUGCAGUGGAUACUGGAUCACUAGAGUGUGGUAGAGGAUAGUGGAAUUUCCGGUGCAGCAGUGAAAUGCGUAGAGAUCGGAAGGAACAUCUGUGGCGAAGGCGACUAUCUGGGCCAACACUGACACUGAGGCACGAAAGCGUGGGAAGCAAACAGGAUUAGAUACCCGCGUAGUCCCUGUCUCUUAUAC